Molecule: long non-coding RNA, 592 nt
Filed under: Elaeis guineensis (African oil palm)
Lineage: Eukaryota; Viridiplantae; Streptophyta; Magnoliopsida; Arecales; Arecaceae
Description: long non-coding RNA (EGUI_LNC045067)
Source: RNAcentral
CCAAUCAAGCUCAAACCAAAUUUAAUUAAAUUAUAUUUAAUUAGACUUAAUCUCAACCCAUUGGCUUAAUCAAAUUAAGUCAAUUAGCAAUCAAAUUGCUAAUCGAUCCUCCUGCAACACUUGCACUAGGUUAAAUGUCAAUCGUAUUGAUCAUUUAACCCUAGAACGAUUCUUAAUCAUUGAUCAACUAUCCGAUCGGAUCAUGAACUCUAAUGUGUAUGACCUCAUAGGUCUAAACCUAAGCCGGUAGUACAGGAAUAAAUUUUUAUACCAAUCAAAGUGACCAUCUAGCAAUGGUACUCGACGACCGGAUAGGUCGAAUGUGUAGAACAACAUCCUUAGAACCCAUGCGGAUAUAGUUUUCAUAUAAUUCAUCCCCUUGACCAAAGUGAUCAUAGGACAUCUCAGAGUUCAACUGUCAACUCUGAUCAGGUUGUCCACAUUGUAUUUCAAAAUAUCAAAUCCAUCUGAUGGAUUAUCUUGGCCAAGGUUUUGCUAAAUUGAAAUACAGCGACUCAUUCUUCUCCAACUCUUGGAGUGGUCAAUCCCAUCUCGAUCACACUCUGACUUUGCAAGUACUUGACUGUGCCUA